RNAcentral lists this transfer RNA (82 nucleotides) under Candidatus Parcubacteria bacterium. RNAcentral's name for it is "tRNA-Leu". It matches the Rfam family "tRNA". Rfam says of the family: Transfer RNA (tRNA) molecules are approximately 80 nucleotides in length. Their secondary structure includes four short double-helical elements and three loops (D, anti-codon, and T loops). The record is from RNAcentral. Lineage: Bacteria; Candidatus Parcubacteria.
GCCUUCGUGGCGGAAUUGGCAUACGCGUACGAUUCAGGUUCGUAUUCCGUAAGGAUUGUGGGUCCGACUCCCACCGAAGGCA